GUUGUAUAGUCAAGUAAUUAAGUGCAUGUGGUGGAUGCCUUGGCAGUCAGAGGCGAUGAAAGACGUGAUAGCCUGCGAAAAGCUCCGGGGGCGGCAAAUAUCCUUUGAUCCGGAGAUGUCUGAAUGGGGGAACCCACCUACUUUAAGGUAGGUAUUGCAACAUGAAUACAUAGUGUUGCAAGGCGAACGAGGGGAAGUGAAACAUCUCAGUACCCUUAGGAAAAGAAAUCAAUUGAGAUUCCCUCAGUAGCGGCGAGCGAACGGGGAUCAGCCCAUUAAGUUAUGUGUGUUUUAGUGGAACGCUCUGGGAAGUGCGAACGUAGAGGGUGAUAUUCCCGUACACGAAAGGGCACACAUAAUGAUGACGAGUAGGGCGAGGCACGUGAAACCUUGUCUGAAUAUGGGGGGACCAUCCUCCAAGGCUAAAUACUCCUGACUGACCGAUAGUGAACCAGUACCGUGAGGGAAAGGCGAAAAGAACCCCUGUGAGGGGAGUGAAAUAGAUCCUGAAACCGCAUGCAUACAAGCAGUGGGAGCACCUUCGUGGUGUGACUGCGUACCUUUUGUAUAAUGGGUCAGCGACUUAUAUUCAGUAGCGAGGUUAACCGUAUAGGGGAGCCGUAGAGAAAUCGAGUCUUAAUAGGGCGUUUAGUUGCUGGGUAUAGACCCGAAACCAGGCGAUCUAUCCAUGAGCAGGUUGAAGGUUGGGUAACACUAACUGGAGGACCGAACCCACUGUCGUUGAAAAGCCAGGGGAUGACUUGUGGAUAGGGGUGAAAGGCUAAUCAAGCCUGGUGAUAGCUGGUUCUCCCCGAAAGCUAUUUAGGUAGCGCCUCGGACGAAUACCAUAGGGGGUAGAGCACUGUUUCGGCUAGGGGGUCAUCCCGACUUACCAAACCGAUGCAAACUCCGAAUACCUAUGAGUACUAUCCGGGAGACAGACUGCGGGUGCUAACGUCCGUAGUCAAGAGGAAAACAAUCCAGACCGCCAGCUAAGGCCCCAAAAUCAUAGUUAAGUGGGAAACGAUGUGGGAAGGCAUAGACAGCUAGGAGGUUGGCUUAGAAGCAGCCACCCUUUAAAGAAAGCGUAAUAGCUCACUAGUCGAGUCGGCCUGCGCGGAAGAUGUAACGGGGCUAAAACUAUGUGCCGAAGCUGCGGAUGUAUACUUUGUAUACGUGGUAGGGGAGCGUUCUGUAAGCCGAUGAAGGUGUGUUGAGAAGCAUGCUGGAGGUAUCAGAAGUGCGAAUGCUGACGUGAGUAACGACAAAACGGGUGAAAAACCCGUUCGCCGAAAGACCAAGGGUUCCAGUCCAACGUUAAUCGGGGCUGGGUGAGUCGACCCCUAAGGCGAGGCCGAAAGGCGUAGUCGAUGGGAAAAUGGUUAAUAUUCCAUUACUUCUGUGUAAUGCGAUGAGAGGACGGAGAAGGCUAAAUCAGCCUGGCGUUGGUUGUCCAGGUGAAAGGAUGUAGGCAUGUAUCUUAGGCAAAUCCGGGGUACUCUAUGCUGAGAUCUGAUAGCAAGCUGUACUUGUACAGCGAAGUGGUUGAUGCCAUGCUUCCAGGAAAAGUCUCUAAGCUUCAGUUACACAGGAAUCGUACCCGAAACCGACACAGGUGGUCAGGUCGAGUAGACCAAGGCGCUUGAGAGAACUCUGCUGAAGGAACUAGGCAAAAUGGUACCGUAACUUCGGGAGAAGGUACGCUGUUGUUGGUGAUGGAACUCGCUUCCUGAGCUGACGACAGCCGCAGAAACCAGGCCGCUGCAACUGUUUAUUAAAAACAUAGCACUCUGCAAACACGAAAGUGGACGUAUAGGGUGUGAUGCCUGCCCGGUGCUGGAAGGUUAAUUGAUGGGGUUAGCGUAAGCGAAGCUCUUGAUCGAAGCCCCAGUAAACGGCGGCCGUAACUAUAACGGUCCUAAGGUAGCGAAAUUCCUUGUCGGGUAAGUUCCGACCUGCACGAAUGGCAUAAUGAUGGCGGCGCUGUCUCCAGCAGAGGCUCAGUGAAAUCGAAAUCGCUGUGAAGAUGCAGUGUACCCGCGGCUAGACGGAAAGACCCCGUGAACCUUUACUGCAGCUUGACACUGAACUUUGACCUUACUUGUGUAGGAUAGGUGGGAGGCUUUGAAGCUGGAACGCUAGUUCCAGUGGAGCCGUCCUUGAAAUACCACCCUGGUAAUGUUGAGGUUCUAACUCUGUCCCGUGAUCCGGGACGAGGACCGUGUCUGGUGGGUAGUUUGACUGGGGCGGUCUCCUCCUAAAGAGUAACGGAGGAGUACGAAGGUGCGCUCAGCGUGGUCGGAAAUCACGCGUAGAGUAUAAAGGCAAAAGCGCGCUUAACUGCGAGACCCACAAGUCGAGCAGGUACGAAAGUAGGUCUUAGUGAUCCGGUGGUUCUGUAUGGAAGGGCCAUCGCUCAACGGAUAAAAGGUACUCUGGGGAUAACAGGCUGAUACCGCCCAAGAGUUCAUAUCGACGGCGGUGUUUGGCACCUCGAUGUCGGCUCAUCUCAUCCUGGGGCUGAAGCAGGUCCCAAGGGUAUGGCUGUUCGCCAUUUAAAGAGGUACGCGAGCUGGGUUUAGAACGUCGUGAGACAGUUCGGUCCCUAUCUACCGUGGGCGCUGGAAAUUUGAGAGGAUCUGCUCCUAGUACGAGAGGACCAGAGUGGACGAACCUCUGGUGUACCGGUUGUGACGCCAGUCGCAUCGCCGGGUAGCUAUGUUCGGAAGGGAUAACCGCUGAAAGCAUCUAAGCGGGAAGCCUACCUCAAGAUAAGAUUUCCCUAGGACUUUAUGUCCUCUAAAGAGCCGUUCGAGACUAGGACGUUGAUAGGUUGGAUGUGGAAGCAUAGUGAUAUGUGAAGCUGACCAAUACUAAUUGCUCGUGAGGCUUGACUAUACAACACCCAAGCAGUUG
RNAcentral lists this ribosomal RNA (2916 nucleotides) under Acinetobacter baumannii. RNAcentral's name for it is "23S ribosomal RNA". It matches the Rfam family "Bacterial large subunit ribosomal RNA". The record is from RNAcentral. Lineage: Bacteria; Pseudomonadati; Pseudomonadota; Gammaproteobacteria; Moraxellales; Moraxellaceae.